This 548-nucleotide ribosomal RNA is filed under the name uncultured bacterium. RNAcentral's name for it is "bacterial SSU rRNA". It matches the Rfam family "Bacterial small subunit ribosomal RNA", at positions 777 to 1331 of the family's 1533-position model. The record is from RNAcentral.
AAUAGAUACCCAGGUAGUCCACGCCCUAAACGAUGCUCACUAGGUGUUGGGGAAGCGAUUCCUUGGUACCGUAGCUAACGCGUGAAGUGAGCCGCCUGGGGAGUACGGCCGCAAGGUUAAAACUCAAAGGAAUUGACGGGGACCCGCACAAGCGGUGGAUGAUGUGGAUUAAUUCGAUGCAACGCGAACAACCUUACCUACCCUUGACAUGUCCGGAAGCCUGCUGAAAGGCGGGGUGCUCGAAAGAGAACCGGAACACAGGUGCUGCAUGGCUGUCGUCAGCUCGUGUCGUGAGAUGUUGGGUUAAGUCCCGCAACGAGCGCAACCCUUGUCCCUAGUUGCUACGCAAGGGCACUCUAGGGAGACUGCCGGUGACAAACCGGAGGAAGGUGGGGAUGACGUCAAGUCCUCAUGGCCCUUAUGGGUAGGGCUUCACACGUCAUACAAUGGACGGUACAGAGGGUUGCCAACCCGCGAGGGGGAGCCAAUCCCAGAAAGCCGUUCGUAGUCCGGAUCGCAGUCUGCAACUCGACUGCGUGAAGUCGGAA